ACCGGGAACCGGUAAAUAUUAAUAAAGCGUUUGAAAUUUUGAUUAUGAAUUAAUGUUUAGGUUUUUUCCACUUGUAUUCAAUUGUUCAGGUUAAUUAGCUAGGAAUUUGUUAUGGUCAUUCUAUGGUAGGCUUAGAUAUAUUAAUUUGGUCAAAGUCAGAUUCGAUUCUUGUAAAUAAGGUGAAACAAACCGUUAAGCUGAACCUUGAAUUGCUUUAAUCUUGUGCUUUUUUAUCUUCGUUAAACUGAAAGUUAAUUUGUCAACUCAAGAUGUUUUAAUUAAGAUUGUGUCCUUCACCUUAAAACGUCAAAUAAUUGAAACAGUGUUUAGUAAAUAUUGGCUCAACUAUAUUGAUCACCCUUUGUUCCAACUGGAUCCCCUCUUUGGCCAUUAUACAAAAAGCUAAUCCAUACCCAUAAAUGAACAGUUGAAGUGAAGAUAGUGUGUUUACUUUGAUGUUGGCAAAAGAAAACAAAAUAAAACAAGGAGCCCAAUUUAGUUUGAAUCUCGUUGGAACCAUGUUCAGGAUUAUCAUCAUCAUUGAAAAAAAGAGGAGUAAAACAAAAAGUACAAGGUUCAGGUUCACCAGUGUUUAAUUGACUUGGAUUAAUGUUAUUGUCCCAGCGAAUCCAGAUUAUCUUUCUCUUGCUGUGAAAAUCUACAUGAGAAACAAUCAACUUCAAGUUGUCACCUCCAAUUAACCAGGCCAACAACCUUUGAAAUUGAUACAAAAUUCCAACUCUUUUAUGCCCCCAAAAAAGGUAGACAGCCAAGAAAAUGGAAAGACAAGGCAACCCAAAGGAGAUGCGGAGAAAGGCCCAACAAACAAAGCAUUCUUGACUUCAAACAACUGAUCUAUUUUAAUUAUAACUUACCUUUCCUUUAAUCAGUUAGUCAAAUUUGUUUUUCCAAUUAUACUUUCAUUACAAGUGAAAUGUACAACAAUGGAAAGCAGGAAAAAAGCAUUUCUAGGCUCAAUUUUAAUCAUCAACAACCAACAUUCAGCUAUCCAAAGCUUCAAAUCCUUGGUGAACCCAAUCCAGGCAGAGUGGUUAAAAACAAUCGUCUAAAUCAACUUGUCUGACUCUCUUAAUCAACUCAACAACGAAGGUGACAAUUAGCAAAUGAUAGUGAACCA
Molecule: long non-coding RNA, 1138 nt
Organism: Tetranychus urticae (two-spotted spider mite)
Lineage: Eukaryota; Metazoa; Arthropoda; Arachnida; Trombidiformes; Tetranychidae
Source: RefSeq, a predicted model, not a curated record